UUAGGUUCUUGCACAUUGUUAACUGCAACAGUAGGAAUAAAAGGACCAUGCACAACAGCUUCCCAAAUAUCACUAUCAACAAAUUUAAUAAAUAUAUGCAUUUUGACUUUCCAGAACACGUAAUUUUCACUAGUAAAUAAUGAGGGUCUGUUAAUGGAAGCACCAUCCACAAAAUUUUUAUAUUGUCCCGCCAUUUGAAUCACUAUCAAAGCAAACUCUAACACCAAUUGUCAUAGCUAUAAAUCAAAAUGAUUGGCAUGGCACAAAUAACCAACACUACAGUAAAAGCGCGUAUUACCGAAGGCUUAUUACCGACGGCCUUUAAUCCUUCGGUAAUGUAUUGAUGAAAUUAAAUAUCGAGGGCUUUUGCCCUUCGGUAAUGUUUGAUGCCUCAUCAUAUGCGAACCACAUCUUCAUCCAACCAUUCUCUCGAGAGAUCCACCCGCACACAUCUCUUUUUCUUUCGAACCUCCGCUUGUCUUCGAUCCAUAUUUUGAGUUUCUCUACCUCAAAUCUUCAUCCACCGAUUAAACUUAUCUUCACUAAUCUAUCUUCACUUUUGCCUGAUUAAAACCUCUUUUCAUUCCAUUCCAUCGAUUCAAUCAUGGAAUCCUUUCUCUCCACCGAUCAAAACGUCCCAAAUCCACAACCCUAGAAUCUACACCGAUCAAACCACUCAUUCUAGGGUUUGCCUCCGUUGUCCAUCAUCUAAUGUUCUUCUUCUUCGAUUUGCUCGAUCUGUGACAGUUUCCAUGGUUCCUAUCGAUCUGCCUCGACCUGGAGCUAUCAAGUGGUAUUCAAAGCCUAGGUUAGGCGCAUCUGCACGAAGCUAAGUAUUUUCUUUGCCUUUCCAUGUUGUCUUCGAUUAAUUGUCUUGAUCUGUUUUGGUCUUGUAUUGAUUCAAUCUGUGCGUUGGUCGUUCUCCAUUUUCUGUGUUGUAAAUCUGUUUCGAGUCGUUUGUCUUGAGUGUUUGUUUUCACUGUUAUGAGUUUCGUGUUUAGGAUUAUAUAAUUUUGUGUAUGUGCGUUUUGUGUGCUUUGAGUCAAUGUUUCAUCAUUUUAAAUCGGUGCAUUCUAUUUUUGACUCAAAUGUUCUUUUCAAAUCCAAGUUCAGUUUUGUCUAAUGGUCAUGUGUUGAGUAAUUAGCUGAUGCAGUUUCUUCAAUUGUGCUAAAAUCAUUGUCAAUAUGCUUUGAAACUGUGUUGGUCUGAUUCAGUGAUUUACGUUUGCCUUAUAUCAACCAAAGAAAGGCAGUGAGAUGAUAAAUCUAGCCUUGGUGAUGUGAGCCAGUGCAUAUGCACAAAUUUGUAGGUCCCAGCAGACAUGGUGGUGAAUGCUAUGCUAAUGGCCAUGGUGGCUCAUGCAAAGCAGCCAAGUGAUAUCAUAUACCACGUGGGUUCCUCUGUUAGAAAUCCACUCACGUACAAAAAAUCUUUACGGGCGUAUUUGAUGAUAUGAACACAGAGAAGUUGAGAAUGACAGCAAAACAAAGUGGGACAGAGACAAAUCCGUUUUACUUUGAAACAAAAGAUAUUAAUUGGGAUGAUUACUUUAUGAAGACCCAUAUUCCUGGAAUUGUCAAGUACAUUUUCAAGUGAUGUUCUACUUAUAGAUUUAGGAUUGAUGAGAAUUGGAAAACUUUUGCAGCAGGUUACAAUUGAGAGUAAUCAGACACCAAUUGAACAACAAGACCGAGAAAGGAAAGUUCUUAUUGUCUUAUAUCUUUUUGUACAAUCUGUUUUAGCUAUAAGGGAAUAUUGAUCGAAGCUUUGCUCAUAUGGCUUGUAGGAUUGGACAAAAGAUAGAAGCUUGAAGUUGUCAAGAAGCAAUAGUGGAGGCACGUGAAUACUUCAGUAGAAGUCGAUCUGGACUGUGGCCGUAACUGAACUAGUACCAGACCGUAGCAUAGGAUUGAUUGGGUUAUUUUGUUUUGUUUUUGUGUAAUUUUGAUUUGUAAUAGGCUUGUAUUAGCCUAUUGUAGUUUUAGCUUUGUUUUGGAAGCAAGU
This is a long non-coding RNA of Vigna angularis (adzuki bean), 2005 nucleotides long. RefSeq lists it as uncharacterized. The transcript is spliced from 3 exons. NCBI's taxonomy places the organism in Eukaryota, Viridiplantae, Streptophyta, Magnoliopsida, Fabales, Fabaceae. The record is from RefSeq and is a predicted model, not a curated record.